CCUACGGGGGGCAGCAGUGAGGAAUAUUGGUCAAUGGACGAGAGUCUGAACCAGCCAAGUCGCGUGAAGGAUGACUGUCCUCUGGGUUGUAAACUUCUUUUAUAUGGGAAUAAAUUGUUCUACGUGUGGGAUUUUGUCUGUACCAUAUGAAUAAGGAUCGGCUAACUCCGUGCCAGCAGCCGCGGUAAUACGGAGGAUCCGAGCGUUAUCCGGAUUUAUUGGGGUUAAAGGGGGCGUAGGGGGAUUGUUAAGUCAGUUGUGAAAGUUUGCGGCUCAACCGUAAAAUUGCAGUUGAAACUGGCAGUCUAGAGUACAGGAGAGGUGGGCGGAAUUCGUGGUGUAGCGGUGAAAUGCUUAGAGAUCACGAAGAACUCCGAUUGCGAAGGCAGCUCACUGGACUACAACUGACACUGAGGCUCGAAAGUGUGGGUAUCAAACAGGAUUAGAUACCCGAGUAGUC
RNAcentral lists this ribosomal RNA (460 nucleotides) under uncultured bacterium. RNAcentral describes it as "partial 16S ribosomal RNA". It matches the Rfam family "Bacterial small subunit ribosomal RNA", at positions 338 to 795 of the family's 1533-position model. The record is from RNAcentral.